RNA transcript from Gorilla gorilla gorilla (western lowland gorilla), 5958 nucleotides. RefSeq lists it as uncharacterized. Lineage: Eukaryota; Metazoa; Chordata; Mammalia; Primates; Hominidae. The record is from RefSeq and is a predicted model, not a curated record. The transcript is spliced from 4 exons.
CGGCUCCACCCCUCCUGGGCCCUCCCUUCGGGACAGGGACUGUCCCGCCCAGAGUGCUGAAUACCCGCGCGACCGUCUGGAUCCCCGCUCAGGAAGCCCCUCUGAAGCCUCCUCGCCGCCGUUUCUGAGAAGCAGGGCACCUGUUAACUGGUACCAAGAAAAGGCCCAAGUGUUUCUCUGGCAUCAGUUGGUGUCUGGAUCCACCACUCUACUCUGUCUCUGGAAACAGCCCUUCCACGUCUCUGCAUUCCCUGUCACCGUGUCACUGGCCUUCAGACAGAGCCAAGGUGCAGGGCAAUACCUCUACAAGGAUCUGCAGCCAUUUAUAUUGCUUAGGCUACUGCCACAGGACAAAAGAAUGAGAGAGGAGAAAGCAGCAGGGGAGAGAAGUGAACCAAAUUUUGAAUGCUGGGAGCAGAUGGACAGGUGGUGACUGACCUUCCCUCAAGCAUCUCUGGAGCCACAGCCCCCAGCCGGCUGUGUCCAGCACGUGACAACAAAACUGAAGCUUGGCCAGGCACAGCGGCUCAAGGACUGUAUCACUUGAACCCCGGAGGCGGAGGUUACAGUGAGGCGAGAUCGUGCCAUUGCACUCCAGCCUGGGUGACAGAGCACUUUGGGGGACCAAGGCAGGCAGAUCAUGAAGUCAGGAGAUCAAGACCAUCCUGGCUAACAUGGUGAAACCCUGUCUCUACUAAAAAUAUAAAAAUUAGCGGGAUGUGGUGGCACAUGCCUGUAAUCCCAGCUACUCAGGAGGCUGAGGCAGGAGAAUCACUUGAACCAGGGAGUCGGAGGUUGUGGUGAGCUGAGAUCACGCCACUGCACUCCAGCCUGGCAACAGAGAUAGACUUUGUCACAAAAAAAAAAAAAAAAGGCCAGGCGCAGUGGCUUAAGCCUGUAAUCCCAGCACUUUGAGAGGCUGAGGCAGGCAGAUCACAAGGUCAGGAGUUGGAGACCAACCUGGCCAAUAUGGUGAAACCCCAUCUCUACUAAAAAUACAAAAAUUAGCCGGGCGUGGUGGCAGACGCCUGUAGUCCCAGCUACUCGGGAGGCUGAGGCAGGAGAAUCGCUUGAACCCAGGAGGCGGAGGUUGUAGUGAGCCGAGAUCAGGCCACUGCACUCCAGCCUGGGAGACAGAGCGAGACUCUGUCUCAAAAAAACAAAAAAGAAGAAAAAGAAAAACAAACCCGAGGCUUAAAGAGAAGAGACUUGCCCCCAGGUCAGUCAAGGAGGAAUAAAGAAGCCAACACUCCCUCUCCCUGGAGGUGGCAGGGAGGGAAGGCAUCCGGAAGGGAUAAUGUUGAUUUGUCUCCUAAAGGAGUGGACAUUUUCCAGGGAAGAGGAACAGCAUGAGAGCAGAGGUGUGAACUAGCCGGGUGCCGAGGUGGGAGGGCCUUUUAUUGCAGGGUUUGGAGAUGAGGGCAGAAGCUGACAGGACCAGGUUACAGAGGACCGGUAGGCCCAGCCCAAGAGUCUAUAAGGAAGUCUGCACUGAAACUCACAAUCCAUUCGUGACAAGGUGGCCUGAUCAGGGUACCCACUACCUGGUCAAUUGGCCACAUAGGCAAUUCCUGACAGCCAGGUGAUCCCUGGCUCAGCGUAGACAAAGGAACUAUCAGCUCCCCUACCAGGCAGGAACAUCACAUCUGCUCAUUCCUCCUCUAGUUUCAGUUUUAACCCACCCCACCUCGGGGGGUAUCUGAGGAUAAACAAGCCCUCUGGGCACUGGACGGACCAGCUAGGCCUGUUCUUCCACUGGCUGAACCAGAGGUUGCCCUUGGGGGGACUCAAAGGCCUCUGCUCUUGCAUUGGCCAAGACCAGAACAGGAGCAGCAGUGGAGGGGAGAGCCAACCUGCACCCACCCCCACUUUGUACCCACCACCCUAUAGUUGAAAGGGAGAUCCUGGGAGGUUUUGGGGAGGAGCAGGGAGGGCUGUCCACAAUCCACAAUCCCUGGCUGUCUACCUUAAGACUCAGCUUGCUUCAAAUUUUCCUUUUUUUUUUUUUAACCCUCCAUUCUUUCUUCUUUUAAAAAAAUUGCUUUUGCUGGGCGUGGUGGCUCACACCUGUAACCCCAGCACUUUGGGAGGCCAAGGGUGGCAGUUUAUCUGAGGUCAGGAGUUUGAGACCAGCCUGGCCAACAUGGAGAAACCCCGUCUCUACUAAAAAUACAAAAUUAGCAAGGCGUGGUAGUGGGCGCCUAUAAUCCCAGCUAUUCGGGAGGCUGAGGCAGAGAAUCACUUGAACCCACGAGGUGGAGGUUGCAGUGAGCUGAGAUCAUUCCACUGCACUCCAGCCUGGGCGACAGAGCGAGACUGUCUCAAAAAAAAGAAAAUUGCUUUCUUCUCUUACACAGUUUCAUUCCCACUCCAUGAAAGGCUAGAAGCUUUGCCAUGAACUUUUCAGGGUGAAACAUUAAUGACGGUGAUCUAGACUGGAGGUCACAUAAUUCUCACUUUCCUGAUUCUCCCAUACACAGGGAAUAACGAAAAAAUGAAAUUCCUAAACUUCAAAGCCAUUUCCAACUGGAGGCCCCAUAUACAACCAAUUAGCUGGCCAGUAGGUGGCGCCAAAGGUUAAUCACAGCCUUUGGGAGAAGGGUUCCCAUUUGGUCCCGCUGGAAAGCAAUUCAGUUAUCCAUUCAGCACACAUAGAUGGCUGCGUGCCAUGUGCCGCGUCUUGAGAUGAGAAAGACAGAGUCUAAUUUCAAUUCACACCAGGGACUAAGAGCUGUGGAGGAGGCAUCCAGAGAGAAUUUGGCCAGAGCAGGUGAUUUCCAAGCCAAGCUUGGCAGACACGUAUUUGCCUGGAGAAGGGCAUCGCAAGAGGUUCCAGGUGCAUUUGGAGAACAACCCAGCAUGGAGAGAUGAUCGGGGCAGACCGUAGACCCUUGGGCUGCUGCAGUAAUCUGAGUGAAUGAAAGGGAAUGCUGUAAUGUUGAAUCUGAGGGGCCCUGAGUGCACUUAGCAGGAUUUGCUGCCCCUGGAGGCUGGAGGGAGGGGCGAGAGAAUGGAGCUGCUGUGAACUCGGAGGAGGUGAGGCUGGAACAAAACCAGAAAACAAUGCAGCCACAUAUUCUUGGUGCACACCCCGCCCCUACCUCCCUUUUCUCCGUAUCUAUUUCUCUGCCAUAUUCUUAAAUCACCAGGUCCCCUGGUCAGGUCUGACCAUGGUGCCCCAUUAGGCUGCCUUGGGGAACUCAGGUGGGUUGUGGGCAGGGCUGGAGGUGCCUUGGUGACAUGUGGGUGCCCUGCAUUCCAGGUCUGAGAGCACCAAGAUCAGGCAUGGAGAUGGGCACAGGAGGGGGCCUCCCAAGGAAGGUGUGUGUUGCAGGCAGAGGUGGGGUCAGCCAGGCCCUGGGAUUUGAAUACCAAGAGAGGGACUACAGGCUCAGUGUCCUGGGAGCCCAGGGGUUUUCUGCACUGGGAAGUGGGCAGAUGAAAACGGGAAUGUAGAACAGAUAAACCCAGCAAGAGCCAGCUGGAAGUGGAAAUGGUGUGGGGCCCUGAAGGCCUGGAUCAGGGCAGGACCCUAAGCACAGAGAGAAAGAACGUUUUAAAGGAAAAAUCCACCAGACUUGUCAGCUGUCAGAAUGUGGGGGCUGAAGGCAAGAGAUGAGUCAAAGAUGACUCAGAAGAUUUGAAGGUGAGUUCAAGGGAAAAUGGCAGUACUUUGGGGAAGGAGUUCAAAUUCGUGUCCAGGACCCCUGGUUCUGCUAGGAGACAGAAGCAUGCCCAAAGGCAUCCCACUUGUUUGUAUGUUUCUGGCCUGUCCCUCCCCGACUAGAACAGAAGUUCCUGAGGGAGCUGCCUCUGCUCUGCUCUGUCCGUUCUUUGUGCUUUACUCAGAGGGGCUUCCGCACAUCUGUCCCCUGCCCGACUCAGAGCAGAUGCCAGGGGAUGCAGACUGAGGCUUCCGCAGGAGGGAGGCUAGGGAGGCCUGCAGGUGAGGGGUGAUAGGGAAGAAAGAGUCCCGCCACCCCUCUCCCACAGGUGCUCCCACACCCAAGCACCCCCAGGACUGGACCCUCUCACAGGCACAACCUCCUGUCCUCCAGGCCUCUCUUCCUCUGAGAUCCCAGGCUUUCUGGCCCUACUGAGACUGCCAUCCUGGGAACCGUCUUUGUGCCCAUCCAUGCCUGUCCCAUUGCCUUCCUUCUCAAUACAUCCCUUCUACCACAUUCCUGCUCAUGUUCCCAGCAUCCUGUUCACUGGAGGCCCAUCCACGUGGAUGCGCAGCAGACACUGUGGUCCAACAAAGGUGACACUGAACCAUUGGCAAGGGUCACCUGCCAUCAUCUGUCUGAGCCCUAUGUUCCCCUGGUGAGCACAGCCUCACCCACCCGGGAGCCUCUGGGGCUCCUGUGCUUCACCCUGUUAACUCGCUCCCCUGACCUCUCCCAAGUUUGCCCCUGCUACACCCACCAACUCUUCAGGGACAGGCUCUCCUCAGGUCUCAUUGGAAGCGUGCUUCCUACACGCCACGGUCAGAGUGGAUGGGGGUCAGACUGCAGCUCCUGGGAAGAUGCCACAAUGCCUCCUAUGAUCUCCAGGCCACGUUUCCAGUCCCUUGGCCCCUGCCUACCUCUGACUUCAGCUCCAGUGGCCAACCCCUGCCCCAAGAGGGGCUCCGUGUCCCCCUACCCACUGCACUGAAGGAAUUUUCCAGCCUCCAUUUUCUUUUUAACUCUUGCCUUCUCACUGUUCCCUGGCUAACUCCUAGUAUUCCUUCUAUAUUUCACCGCAGACCCUCAGGGCUCUUGCAAACUCUGUUCCCUCCCUCUCCUGCAUGCCCUUCCCCACACUCCCUCCCCACAGCCAGCACCUGCCCUCCUCAGUGCAUGGGGUGCCCCUCACCAUCGUAGCACUCUUCAAGAGUUUCUAAGUCCACAUAUUUAGGUGGUGGGGGCUUUAUGCCUGCCUCAACCACAAUGGUCAGGACCCAAUUUUGCUCCCACUUUGACCCAGGGCCUGGACAUGGGCUUUUGGUAAACAGAUAUGAACUGAAUGGUGAACAGACAAAUAAUGAACAGUAAGACUCCAUUUCUGGCUUAUCAACGUGGCCAGACAUUUUUUUUCAGCCGCGCUCAGUGCUGCCAACAGUGGGAGGGGAGGGGAACGAGUUUGCCGGCUUCCCAGCAGCAGCAUGUGGUGAAUUCAAGAAGUGACCAACCCCAAGCCGGCCUUUGAAGGAUGGGUUGAAACUUGCUUGGUGAAGUUUCGGUACUGAAGCAUCCCGAUUUUAUAGUUACUCAAUGGAAAAACUGGGUUGCUCCGUGGAAAUCCACUUUAGGGUCGACUCUGAAACAUCAAUGGCCAGCACCCGCUCCCAGGGUCCUCCCACCUUCCUUCUUUUUUCUUUUUUGAAAAAAGAAAAAAGACUCAAGCUGGAGUGCCGUGGCACAAUCUUGGCUCACUGCAACCUCCUCCCCUCAGGUUCAAGUGAUUCUCCUGCCUCAGCCUCCUGAGUAGCUGGGAUUACAGGUGCACGCCACCAUGCCUGAUUAAUUCUUUGUAUUUUUAGUAGAGCUGGGGUUUCACCACGUUGGCCAGGCUGGUCUCUGACUCCUGACCUCAGGUGAUCCACUCGCCUCGGCCUCCCAAAAUGCUGGGAGUAAAGGCAUCAGCCACCUCGCCUGGCCCUUUCACAUCCCUUCUAUGGUCACACCUAUUGUAGAGAGAUUUAGACCGAAGCACAGAGAGGCUGAGAAGCUUGCUCAGAGUCACACAGCCAGUGAGUGGCAGGACCAGAAUUCACAAUCUGGCUCCAGACCUGUGCUUUAACUGAUGCCAUCUUUCUUGGAAACUGUGUCUCCAAGAAAUGACAGAAUUUUUUUUUUUUUUUUUUUUUUUUGAGACGGAAUCUUGCUCUGUCACCAGGCUGGAGUGCAGUGGCGUGCUCUCGGGUUUAAGCGGUUCUCUUGCCUCAGCCUCCCGAGUAGCUGGGAUUUCAGGCAU